This 434-nucleotide long non-coding RNA is filed under the name Elaeis guineensis (African oil palm). RNAcentral describes it as "long non-coding RNA (EGUI_LNC024570)". The record is from RNAcentral. Lineage: Eukaryota; Viridiplantae; Streptophyta; Magnoliopsida; Arecales; Arecaceae.
UUGAUCCCAUAUUUACUGACAUGCAUCGGCAACGCUACUUCCCCAUCUAUUUCUUGCUGAAUUGAGAGUCCUUCAUGAGUAGUUGCUAUUAGGAAUAUUACAUCCCACGAGAAUCGACUGUAAUCUAAUUACACUAACAAACAGAUGCAAAAUAAAAUUAAUAUUGAACUGAUUUAAUAUGAGUGGAGAAUUAAUAUUAAAACUAUCCUAGCUUACAGAUCGAAGGUAUACAAAGUACUGUCCUAAGGCGAUUCCUAACCCUCAUAUGAGAUCUGACUCGAGUAAUUUGCCCUAAGAUACAACUAGAAGACCUCUCCUAUGAGCAUGACCAUGGAGAGAAAGACAGAGCCUCGACCCAGCAGAUGAAAGAUCAAAAAUGAAGAAAAAAAAUUUUUAGAAGAAAGAUCUCUGUAGAAUGAGAGAAUAAUCGAGAG